Molecule: ribosomal RNA, 566 nt
Filed under: uncultured bacterium
Lineage: Bacteria
Description: bacterial SSU rRNA
Rfam family: Bacterial small subunit ribosomal RNA
Source: RNAcentral
CCUACGGGAGGCAGCAGUGGGGAAUAUUGCACAAUGGGCGGAAGCCUGAUGCAGCGACGCCGCGUGAGGGAUGAAGGCCUUCGGGUUGUAAACCUCUUUCAGCAGGGACGAAGCGUGAGUGACGGUACCUGCAGAAGAAGCACCGGCUAACUACGUGCCAGCAGCCGCGGUAAUACGUAGGGUGCGAGCGUUGUCCGGAAUUACUGGGCGUAAAGAGUUCGUAGGCGGUUUGUCGCGUCGUUUGUGAAAACCCGGGGCUCAACUUCGGGCUUGCAGGCGAUACGGGCAGACUUGAGUGUUUCAGGGGAGACUGGAAUUCCUGGUGUAGCGGUGAAAUGCGCAGAUAUCAGGAGGAACACCGGUGGCGAAGGCGGGUCUCUGGGAAACAACUGACGCUGAGGAACGAAAGCGUGGGUAGCAAACAGGAUUAGAUACCCUGGUAGUCCACGCCGUAAACGGUGGGCGCUAGGUGUGGGUUCCUUCCACGGGAUCUGUGCCGUAGCUAACGCAUUAAGCGCCCGCCUGGGGAGUACGGCCGCAAGGCUAAAACUCAAAGGAAUUGACGG